Molecule: ribosomal RNA, 548 nt
Filed under: uncultured bacterium
Lineage: Bacteria
Description: bacterial SSU rRNA
Rfam family: Archaeal small subunit ribosomal RNA
Source: RNAcentral
AAUAGAUACCCGGGUAGUCCUAGCCGUAAACGAUACUCGCUAGGUGUCGGCCACGGUGCGACCGUUGUCGGUGCCGUAGGGAAGCCGUGAAGCGAGCCACCUGGGAAGUACGGCCGCAAGGCUGAAACUUAAAGGAAUUGGCGGGGGAGCACCACAACGGGUGGAGCUUGCGGUUUAAUUGGAUUCAACGCCGGAAAUCUUACCGGGACCGACAGCAAUAUGAAGGCCAGGCUGAAGACUUUGCCGGAUUAGCUGAGAGGUGGUGCAUGGCCGUCGUCAGUUCGUACUGUGAAGCAUCCUGUUAAGUCAGGCAACGAGCGAGACCCACGCCCACAGUUGCCAGCGUACUCUCCGGAGUGACGGGUACACUGUGGGGACCGCCGCUGCUAAAGCGGAGGAGGAAUGGGCAACGGUAGGUCAGUAUGCCCCGAAUAUCCCGGGCUACACGCGAGCUACAAUGGUUGGUACAAUGGGUAUCUACCCCGAAAGGGGAUGGAAAUCUCCUAAAGCCAAUCUUAGUUCGGAUUGAGGGCUGCAACUCGCCCUCA